UUACCAGGUCUUGACAUCCAACGAAUCUGGCCGAAAGGUCGGAGUGCCUUCGGGAGCGUUGAGACAGGUGGUGCAUGGUUGUCGUCAGCUCGUGUCGUGAGAUGUUGGGUUAAGUCCCGCAACGAGCGCAACCCUUGCCAUUAGUUGCUAACAGGUUAAGCUGAGCACUCUAAUGGGACUGCCGGUGACAAGCCGGAGGAAGGUGGGGAUGACGUCAAAUCAUCAUGCCCUUUAUGACCUGGGCUACACACGUGCUACAAUGGAUGGUACAGAGAGCAGCAAGACCGCGAGGUGGAGCGAAUCUCAAAAAGCCAUUCUCAGUUCGGAUUGUAGUCUGCAACUCGACUACAUGAAGUCGGAAUCGCUAGUAAUCGCGAAUCAGCAUGUCGCGGUGAAUGCGUUCCCGGGCCUUGUACACACCGCCCGUCACACCACGAAAGUCGGCAACACCCGAAGCCAGUGAGCUAACUAGUAAUAGAGGCAGCUGUCGAAGGUGGGGUUGGUGAUUGGGGUGAAGUCGUAACAAGGUAGCC
This 533-nucleotide ribosomal RNA is filed under the name uncultured bacterium. RNAcentral describes it as "bacterial SSU rRNA". It matches the Rfam family "Bacterial small subunit ribosomal RNA", at positions 971 to 1501 of the family's 1533-position model. The record is from RNAcentral.